UCUUCACGUGAUAAGAUGAGAAAAAGUUUGUGAGCAUAAUUAGCAUAUUUAAUUAGGUGAAUCUAAAAACACCCAACUCAAGAACUUGAGAUGGUAACACCAAUCGUUUCUCAUUGACAUUUACAAGCUAACAUAUAUAGUAUGUUUUCAUAGUUCUUAUAUUUAGACAGACCAAACACUUCAUUUGACACAACUAAUUUCUCUCUAUUUUUC
RNAcentral lists this long non-coding RNA (213 nucleotides) under Vigna radiata. RNAcentral's name for it is "long non-coding RNA (VRAD_LNC017973)". The record is from RNAcentral. Lineage: Eukaryota; Viridiplantae; Streptophyta; Magnoliopsida; Fabales; Fabaceae.